Molecule: ribosomal RNA, 253 nt
Filed under: uncultured bacterium
Lineage: Bacteria
Description: partial 16S ribosomal RNA
Rfam family: Bacterial small subunit ribosomal RNA
Source: RNAcentral
UACGUAGGGUGCGAGCGUUGUCCGGAAUUACUGGGCGUAAAGAGCUCGUAGGUGGUUUGUCGCGUUGUCCGUGAAAACUCACAACUCAAUUGUGGGCGUGCGGGCGAUACGGGCAGACUGGAGUACUGCAGGGGAGACUGGAAUUCCUGGUGUAGCGGUGGAAUGCGCAGAUAUCAGGAGGAACACCGGUGGCGAAGGCGGGUCCCUGGACAACUCCUGACACUGAGGCACGAAAGCUAGGGGAGCAAACAGG